AGCAGCCGCGGUAAUUCCAGCUCCAAUAGCGUAUAUUAAAGUUGUUGCAGUUAAAAAGCUCGUAGUUGAAUUUUAGGCCUGGCCGGGCGGUCCGUCUUUGGCGAGUACUGUUCUGUGUCGGGUCUUACCUUCUGGUGAACCGGCAUGUUCUUUAUUGAGUGUACCGGGGAGCCAGGACCAUUACCUUGAAAAAUUAGAGUGUUUAAAGCAGGCAUUUGCUUGAAUAGAUUAGCAUGGAAUAAUAGAAUAGGACGUUGGUUCUAUUUUGUUGGUCUAGGACCACCGUAAUGAUUAAUAGGGAUAGUUGGGGGCAUUAGUAUUCAAUUGUCAGAGGUGAAAUUCUUGGAUUUAUUGAAGACUAACUAUUGCGAAAGCAUUUGCCAAGGAUGUUUUCAUUAAUCAAGAACGAAAGUUAGGGGAUCGAAGACGAUCAGAUACCGUCGUAGUCUUAACCAUAAACUAUGCCGACUAGG
This 473-nucleotide ribosomal RNA is filed under the name uncultured Archaeospora. Its description in RNAcentral is "SSU rRNA". It matches the Rfam family "Eukaryotic small subunit ribosomal RNA", at positions 569 to 1050 of the family's 1831-position model. Lineage: Eukaryota; Fungi; Glomeromycota; Glomeromycetes; Archaeosporales; Archaeosporaceae. The record is from RNAcentral.